Molecule: RNA transcript, 3747 nt
Organism: Ipomoea triloba (trilobed morning glory)
Lineage: Eukaryota; Viridiplantae; Streptophyta; Magnoliopsida; Solanales; Convolvulaceae
Exons: 3
Source: RefSeq, a predicted model, not a curated record
AACAGGCGCGUGGUCCGUUAACUGUCGUCUUAGGUGUUCGGAGCAGCCACCACUCCUCCUCGGCUCCUCCACCACACGCACUCUCUCUCUCUAAAACCUUUUUCUCUCUCGUAGAAAUUACUGCUACUAUUAUACUAAUAGCUCCAACACUUCUUCUUCUUCUUCUCUCUCUGUCGCAUUUGAUUCCAGACACUCAGAAAUUUCCUACCCAGAAGCGCAUAAAAUCUUGAUAAAAAAAACCACAAACUUUCCAGGAUCUCCGGCAACAUUUUCCAGCGGAAUAUGAUUCCCGGGAGACCUAUCAGUCACUGCUAUAACUAUAAUUAUAUAUUGGGCAUUAAGUGUUAGUGGGAGAAAGAUUAGUGGGUUUUGUUUGAGUAAUAAUGGCUGCGGCAAAUACGAGCUCGGCGGGGCAGGUGGAGUCGAGCGGAGGCGGAGACGACGGCGGGUCGUCGGAGGAGCUGACGGCGAAGACGGUGAGGAAGAGGUACGAGGGGUUGGUGAUGGUACGGACGAAAGCCAUUAAGGGGAAAGGGGCUUGGUACUGGGCUCACCUUGAGCCCAUUUUGGUGCCCAAUUCCGAAACGGGCUUGCCCAAAGCGGUGAAGCUCAGGUGCGCUCUCUGCGACGCCGUUUUCUCCGCUUCUAACCCUUCCAGGACCGCUUCCGAGCAUCUCAAGAGAGGAACGUGUCCCAAUUUCAACUCCGUCGCCAAACCCAUUUCCUCCGUGCCGCCGCCGCCGCCGCCCUCGGCGGUGCCCGUCACCGCGCCGCCGCCGUCGACGGCUUCUUCCCACCACCAUAAUCACCGGAAACGGAACUCCUCCGGGACUGGCCACCGUGGGGGGACCACUAGCGGAGCUUCUACUCCUACUGCUGCGUAUCAAGUUCCUCCUCUUGCUAUUGUUGAUCCCUCUAGGUUAGCGUACUCGCCCGUCGACUUAGCCUACUCGCCCGUCGCGUCAAUGGCGACAUCUAUCGUUACGGCCGGCUGUAGUACUACUACAGUUGCCGCCGCCGCCGCCGCCGUCGGCGGCGGCGGCGGAAGCAUGUAUCCGCAGCAGCAACAAUUGGUGUUGUCGGGUGGGAAAGAGGAUUUAGGAGCUUUAGCCAUGUUUGAAGAUAGCGUAAAGAAGCUGAAGAGUCCUAAAACCUCACCCGGGCCGACAUUAAGCAAGUCCCAGGUUGAUGCCGCACUGGAUUCUCUCGCGGAUUGGGUGUACGAAUGUUGCGGGUCGGUCUCAUUUUCCAGUCUCGACCACCCAAAAUUCAAAGCAUUCCUCAAUCAAGUCGGAUUGCCCUCAAUUUCAAGGAAGGAAUUCGCAGGUCCGAGGUUAGACGCUAAGUACGAGGAAGCCAAGGCAGAAUCCGAGUUUAAAAUCCGGGACGCCAUGUUCUUUCAAAUCGCAGCCGAUGGUUGGAAGGCGAAGAAUCCGGGGCAUGUUGGGGAAGAGAAUCUGGUGAACUUGUCUGUGAAUCUCCCUAAUGGGACUAGUGUGUUUAGGAGGGCAGUUUUGACAAGUGGAUAUGUGCCUUCUAAGUAUGCCGAGGAAGUAUUAUGGGACACUAUAACAGAAAUUUGUGGGCAGAGUGUCCAUCAAUGUGUGGGUAUUGUUGGGGACAAGUUUAAGGGGAAGGCAUUGAGGAAUUUAGAGAACCAACAUCAUUGGAUGGUCAAUAUAUCUUGUCAGUACCAAGCUUUCAAUAGUUUGAUUAAAGAUUUCGGUAAGGAACUCCCAUUGUUCAAAAUUGCAACUGAGAAUUGUAUAAAGCUUGCGAAUUUCAUUAAUAAUAAGUCUCAAAUUCGAAAUAGUUUUCAUAAGUAUCAGUUGCAGGAGUAUGGGCAUGCUGGCUUGUUGAGAGUGCCAAUGCACGGUUAUGAAAGGUUGGAUUUUGGACCUGUUUAUACGUUGGUAGAGGAUAUACUGAGCUCAGCACGGGCACUUCAGUUAGUUUUGCUCGAUGAAUCGUAUAAGGUAGUGUCGAUGGAGGAACCAUAUGCCCGGGGAAUUGAAGAGAUGAUGAGAAGUCCGCAGUUUUGGAAUGAGUUAGAGGCUGUGCAUUCGCUAGUUAAGUUAAUCAAGACGAUGCUUCAGGAUAUUGAGACAGAUAAACCACGGGUGGGGCAAUGCCUUCCUCUUUGGGAGGAGCUAAGGGUUAAAAUGAAGGAUUGGUGCUCUAAGUUUCACGUGGCUGAGGGACCUGUAGAGAAAUUGAUUGAAAGGAGGUUCAACAAGAAUUAUCAUCCAGCUUGGGCAGCUGCGUUUAUACUUGAUCCGCUCUAUUUGAUUAAGGAUGCCAGUGGGAAGUACUUACCACCCUUCAAAUACCUAACCCCCGAGCAAGAAAAGGACGUGGACAAGCUCAUAACACGGCUUGUUUCUCGGGAGGAGGCUCAUAUCGCUUUGAUGGAGCUUAUGAAAUGGAGAACUGAAGGACUUGACCCCGUAUAUGCUCAAGCUGUUCAGUUGAAGCAGAGGGAUCCCAACACUGGGAAGAUGAAACUUGAAAACCCGCAAAGCAGUAGGCUUGUCUGGGAAACUUACCUCACUGAGUUCAAGGCAUUAGGAAAAGUUGCAGUUAGGCUUAUCUUCCUUCAUGCUACCUCGUGUGGCUUCAAAUGCAACUUGUCUUUCCUGAGAUGGGUAGGCGCCCAAUCCCAUUCAAGAGUGGGUGUGGAUAGAGCUCAGAAGUUGAUAUUCAUUGCUGCUCACUCGAAGCUUGAAAAGCGGGAUUAUUCCAACGAGGAAGAUAAGGAUGCGGAGCUCUUUGCGAUGUCAAACGGUGAGGAUGACAUGCUCAAUGAGGUUAGCCAUUGGUGUUGAAUUCCACGUGCGAUCAAGAGGCAGUUGCCAAAACUACUUUGAGUUAUGACUUGAAUCCUACUUUUCUGAAUACGAAGGUUGCCUGGAAUUAUGAGUUUGACGAUGAGAACUGGAUAGACCAGCGUGAGAUUACAAUUGAACGGGGAUGCUAGCUACCAAAAAAGGAUGAUCGAGGGGAAACAAACGAUUCAACGUUUCUAUCUUGAGUGCUUGCUUACCUGAUAGGCAGGUAGGAAACCAGGUUUUGCUAUUCUUGGGCAUCGGCCCCCAGACCUAUAAUUAAAUCUUUCUAGCUGGAAAACCACUUGAAAAUGUUGAUACCUCAUUGCUAUAUUCUGGAUUUAUGCGUCUUUGUGGGAAAGGGGCCCCGCCAUGAAACUAGUGCUAGUCUUUUCCAAAAUUUGGUUGUUAUAGAAAAAGCAAAAGGUCCUUAAGUUAAAUCAUCUUUGGGGUUACUUCUCUUGUAAACAUUUCAAAGAAUGUGUGUGUGUGUGUGUGAUGUCCAUACAGAGGCAUAGGGAUGAUGCUCCCAUCAUUGCAAAAAAAAGUUGUGAGAGGACCCAAAGCUGAACAACACUGUCGGCUCGAACCAACACAAAAGAUGUUUGAUAGUGAUUUGGCAGCGCGGAUUGACUAUAUUUGCUGAUUCCUGUUAACUUUGAGGAUUGGAAAAUCCAUCAUUAUCUGGUGGGUAGUCAAUCAUCAUUUCAUCCGCAUUUAACCUUUAUUUGUUUUAUCAAUCAAUGAUUGCUGUAAAUUUUAUUCCUUGCGUGAUCUAAUUGCUGUUCCCAUAUUCCCCAUUAACCCUCGAAUAAUAUCUCAUCCCAAACAAAUAUCCGCUUCACUAUGUUCAAACCGAAGCAGUGAAGGGGAGACUGUAAAAACUUUCCUCUCAGCUCAAAUGUACUUUUUUUUUUUUUAC